Molecule: ribosomal RNA, 621 nt
Filed under: Triticum aestivum (bread wheat)
Lineage: Eukaryota; Viridiplantae; Streptophyta; Magnoliopsida; Poales; Poaceae
Description: partial small subunit ribosomal RNA
Source: RNAcentral
AUGGGCGGCGCGAUCUCCGGCGGCGCAGCGGCGACGGGGGAGUACCCGGUGGUUCUCAACGUGUACGACCUCACGCCGCUAAACAACUACGUCCACUGGUGCGGGCUCGGCAUCUUCCACUCCGCCGUCGAAGUCCAUGGAUCGGAGUACAGUUUUGGAGCUCAUGACCUUCCAACAAGUGGUGUUUUUGAGGUUGAACCAAAGAGCUGCCCAGGAUUCUUGUACAGAUCUUCAAUUUUCAUAGGCCGUACAAGUCUACAUCCCUUGGAAUUUCGAGAUUUCAUUCAGAGAAUGGCCUCGGAGUAUCAUGGGGAUACAUACCACCUCAUUUCUAAGAAUUGUAACCACUUCACAGAUGAUCUCAGCACCAGAUUGACAGGAAAGCCAAUUCCUGGUUGGGUUAACCGACUUGCUAAGCUAGGUGCAUUUUGCAACUGCCUUCUACCAGAAAGUAUGCGGUUGGACUCAACUGAGACAAAGAACCUCACGGACUACCAUUUCUCUGAUGAUUCCAACUUAACCAUCAAUGACAACUUUGACGAUGAUGACAUUGAAGACAAACACUUGCUUUCCGAAUCUUCUGUCAGUGAAAAUGCAAUUGUAAAGGAAGUCCACAGGUGA